GACGAACGCUGGCGGCGUGCUUAACACAUGCCAGUCGAACGGAAAGGCCCUGCUUGCAGGGUACUCGAGUGGCGAACGGGUGAGUAACUCGUGGGUGAUCUGCCCUGCACUUCGGGAUAAGCCUGGGAAACUGGGUCUAAUACCGGAUAGGAGCCAUUUUUAGUGUGAUGGUUGGAAAGUUUUUUCGGUGUAGGAUGAGCUCGCGGCCUAUCAGCUUGUUGGUGGGGUAAUGGCCUACCAAGGCGGCGACGGGUAGCCGGCCUGAGAGGGUGGACGGCCACAAUGGGACUGAGAUACGGCCCAGACGGCUACGGGAGGCAGCAGUGGGGAAUAUUGCACAAUGGACGCAAGCCUGAUGCAGCGACGCCGCGUGGGGGAUGACGGACUUCGGGUUGUAAACUCCUUUCGCUAGGGACGAAGCUUUUUGUGACGGUACCUAGAUAAGAAGCACCGGCUAACUACGUG
RNAcentral lists this ribosomal RNA (465 nucleotides) under uncultured bacterium. RNAcentral describes it as "partial 16S ribosomal RNA". It matches the Rfam family "Bacterial small subunit ribosomal RNA", at positions 28 to 507 of the family's 1533-position model. The record is from RNAcentral.